CACCCAGAAAUUGCUUCCAUGAGAUGUAGCAAAGGCUACCAAUAUGAAUGGCUUUAAAAGGGGAUUGGACACAUUCAUG
Molecule: long non-coding RNA, 79 nt
Organism: Varanus komodoensis (Komodo dragon)
Lineage: Eukaryota; Metazoa; Chordata; Lepidosauria; Squamata; Varanidae
Exons: 3
Source: RefSeq, a predicted model, not a curated record